AGUGAACGCUGGCGGUAGGCCUAACACAUGCAAGUCGAACGGCAGCACAGUAAGAGCUUGCUCUUACGGGUGGCGAGUGGCGGACGGGUGAGGAAUACAUCGGAAUCUACUUUUUCGUGGGGGAUAACGUAGGGAAACUUACGCUAAUACCGCAUACGACCUACGGGUGAAAGCAGGGGAUCUUCGGACCUUGCGCGAUUGAAUGAGCCGAUGUCGGAUUAGCUAGUUGGCGGGGUAAAGGCCCACCAAGGCGACGAUCCGUAGCUGGUCUGAGAGGAUGAUCAGCCACACUGGAACUGAGACACGGUCCAGACGCCUACGGGAGGCAGCAGUGGGGAAUAUUGGACAAUGGGCGCAAGCCUGAUCCAGCCAUACCGCGUGGGUGAAGAAGGCCUUCGGGUUGUAAAGCCCUUUUGUUGGGAAAGAAAGCAGCAGGUUAAUACCCCGCUGUUCUGACGGUACCCAAAGAAUAAGCACCGGCUAACUUCGUG
Molecule: ribosomal RNA, 491 nt
Filed under: uncultured bacterium
Lineage: Bacteria
Description: partial 16S ribosomal RNA
Rfam family: Bacterial small subunit ribosomal RNA
Source: RNAcentral